AUUGAACGCUGGCGGCGUGCCUAACACAUGCAAGUCGAGCGGUAACAGGUGUAGCAAUACAUGCUGACGAGCGGCGAACGGGUGAGUAAUGCUUUGGAAUCUUCCCAGUAGUGGGGAAUAACCAGUCGAAAGGUUGGCUAAUACCGCAUACGUCUGUAAAGGGAAAGCGGGGGCUCGUAAAGACCUCGCGCUAUUGGAUGAGCCAAAGUCGGAUUAGCUAGUUGGUGGGGAAUGGCCUACCAAGGCGACAAUCCGUAGCUGGUCUGAGAGGACGACCAGCCACACCGGAACUGAGACACGGUCCGGACUCCGUACGGGAGGCAGCAGUGGGGAAUAUUGGACAAUGGGGGAAACCCUGAUCCAGCGACGCCGCGUGUGUGAAGAAGGCCUGCGGGUUG
RNAcentral lists this ribosomal RNA (398 nucleotides) under uncultured bacterium. Its description in RNAcentral is "bacterial SSU rRNA". It matches the Rfam family "Bacterial small subunit ribosomal RNA", at positions 30 to 425 of the family's 1533-position model. The record is from RNAcentral.